GUCGAGCGGCGGACGGGUGAGUAAUGCCUGGGAAAUUGCCCUGAUGUGGGGGAUAACCAUUGGAAACGAUGGCUAAUACCGCAUAAUAGCUUCGGCUCAAAGAGGGGGACCUUCGGGCCUCUCGCGUCAGGAUAUGCCCAGGUGGGAUUAGCUAGUUGGUGAGGUAAUGGCUCACCAAGGCGACGAUCCCUAGCUGGUCUGAGAGGAUGAUCAGCCACACUGGAACUGAGACACGGUCCAGACUCCUACGGGAGGCAGCAGUGGGGAAUAUUGCACAAUGGGCGCAAGCCUGAUGCAGCCAUGCCGCGUGUAUGAAGAAGGCCUUCGGGUUGUAAAGUACUUUCAGCAGUGAGGAAGGUGGAUGUGUUAAUAGCGCAUUCAUUUGACGUUAGCUGCAGAAGAAGCACCGGCUAACUCCGUGCCAGCAGCCGCGGUAAUACGGAGGGUGCGAGCGUUAAUCGGAAUUACUGGGCGUAAAGCGCAUGCAGGUGGUUUGUUAAGUCAGAUGUGAAAGCCCGGGGCUCAACCUCGGAAUUGCAUUUGAAACUGGCAGACUAGAGUACUGUAGAGGGGGGUAGAAUUUCAGGUGUAGCGGUGAAAUGCGUAGAGAUCUGAAGGAAUACCGGUGGCGAAGGCGGCCCCCUGGACAGAUACUGACACUCAGAUGCGAAAGCGUGGGGAGCAAACAGGAUUAGAUACCCUGGUAGUCCACGCCGUAAACGAUGUCUACUUGGAGGUUGUGGCCUUGAGCCGUGGCUUUCGGAGCUAACGCGUUAAGUAGACCGCCUGGGGAGUACGGUCGCAAGAUUAAAACUCAAAUGAAUUGACGGGGGCCCGCACAAGCGGUGGAGCAUGUGGUUUAAUUCGAUGCAACGCGAAGAACCUUACCUACUCUUGACAUCCAGAGAACUUUCCAGAGAUGGAUUGGUGCCUUCGGGAACUCUGAGACAGGUGCUGCAUGGCUGUCGUCAGCUCGUGUUGUGAAAUGUUGGGUUAAGUCCCGCAACGAGCGCAACCCUUAUCCUUGUUUGCCAGCGAGUAAUGUCGGGAACUCCAGGGAGACUGCCGGUGAUAAACCGGAGGAAGGUGGGGACGACGUCAAGUCAUCAUGGCCCUUACGAGUAGGGCUACACACGUGCUACAAUGGCGCAUACAGAGGGCGGCCAACUUGCGAAAGUGAGCGAAUCCCAAAAAGUGCGUCGUAGUCCGGAUUGGAGUCUGCAACUCGACUCCAUGAAGUCGGAAUCGCUAGUAAUCGUAGAUCAGAAUGCUACGGUGAAUACGUUCCCGGGCCUUGUACACACCGCCCGUCACACCAUGGGAGUGGGCUGCAAAAGAAGUGGGUAGUUUAACCUUCGGGGGGACGCU
RNAcentral lists this ribosomal RNA (1368 nucleotides) under bacterium 1D807. Its description in RNAcentral is "16S ribosomal RNA". It matches the Rfam family "Bacterial small subunit ribosomal RNA", at positions 90 to 1454 of the family's 1533-position model. The record is from RNAcentral.